AGCAGCCGCGGUAAUUCCAGCUCCAAUAGCGUAUAUUAAAGUUGCUGCAGUUAAAAAGCUCGUAGUUGAAUUUCGGGACCAAUAUGUCGGUCGUGCCUCGGUACGUACUGGCAUCGUUGGUUUCUCCCUUCUGACGAACCAUGAUGUCAUUUAUUUGGUGUCGUGGGGAAUCAGGACUGUUACUUUGAAAAAUUAGAGUGUUUAAAGCAGGCUCACGCUUGAAUACAUUAGCAUGGAAUAAUGAAAUAGGACGUUUGAUUCUAUUUUGUUGGUUUCUAGGAUCGACGUAAUGAUUAAUAGGGAUAGUUGGGGGCAUUAGUAUUCAAUUGUCAGAGGUGAAAUU
RNAcentral lists this ribosomal RNA (343 nucleotides) under Glomus sp. 6 FW-2016. RNAcentral describes it as "SSU rRNA". It matches the Rfam family "Eukaryotic small subunit ribosomal RNA", at positions 569 to 918 of the family's 1831-position model. The record is from RNAcentral. Lineage: Eukaryota; Fungi; Glomeromycota; Glomeromycetes; Glomerales; Glomeraceae.